AAGAGACGUUGCCCUUCGGGGUAUACCUCCCACCCUUUGUUUAUUAUACCUUUGUUGCUUUGGCGGGCCCGUCCUCGGACCACCGGCUUCUGGCUGGUCAGUGCCCGCCAGAGGACCUAAAACUCUGUUUGUUAAUAUUGUCUGAGUACUAUAUAAUAGUUA
This 162-nucleotide unclassified non-coding RNA is filed under the name soil metagenome. RNAcentral describes it as "partial internal transcribed spacer 1". The record is from RNAcentral.